AUCCAGAUGACGAGCCCCGAAUAGGACGAAAUGCGCAUCCUGACUGGAU
Molecule: non-coding RNA, 49 nt
Filed under: Trichobilharzia regenti
Lineage: Eukaryota; Metazoa; Platyhelminthes; Trematoda; Strigeidida; Schistosomatidae
Source: RNAcentral